Molecule: non-coding RNA, 2788 nt
Organism: Tetranychus urticae (two-spotted spider mite)
Lineage: Eukaryota; Metazoa; Arthropoda; Arachnida; Trombidiformes; Tetranychidae
Source: RefSeq, a predicted model, not a curated record
AUAUUUUACCGUAGCUCAAAGGGUAAAUGUUUUUUGUUUUGUUUUAUCAUUUUGUUUCUGUUUGUGUCACACAAUCAAUCUCAAUUUGUUUAGUUUAUUGACUGUUAAUUUAAUUAACUCAUUGUUUCCUUGUUCAGAUAGCCGAGAUUCGUGAGAAAAAUUUCUCAAUUCAGGCUCGGGGUGUCAAGGUUUUACCAGAAUCCAUUGCUUUAUGGAUCAAUUCAACUCAAGAAAGAUUUGAAAAUGGUGAAACUGGAUUUAGCUGUUGUCACAUUUUUAUAUUGACACAAUCUUCCUUUCUCUUUUCUGUACUUGAAAAUAGCGGUAUUUUGAUGAUGUUUGUCGCAAAUUUCAAAAAGAGCUAACCAAGCAAUAGUAUCCAUCAAUCAUUUGGUAUAACAAUCGAUCAACAAAUUGUGUUAAAAUUUAGCUUUUAAGUAGCACAUUAUGAACCAUAUUUGCCACCUAAAUAUUCAAUCAGUUAACAGUUGAACAAAUCAUGGAGCCAUUGUAAUAAGCAUAUUGAAAGCGUUUCUAAUAAUAAACUGAGCUGAACAAUCCCAGGCAAUGUUAACCCAGAAAAUCGUAACUGCAAUCCAAAUUUAUGUGAAAACAAGUGAAAUCAAUCAAUACACAUUUCCAGUUAAUGAUGCAUUCGUUUUGUUCUUUUUUCUAUUUAAUUACAGUUAAUUAAUUAGCAUACAUGGUAACGUGAGCUUUGGCAUUAAUAAAAUGAAUUAUGAGCCUGAAGAGUUAUAAUUUCAACACAUUUGGAUUCGUAUUUGUUCAAAUCAUUAGUUUAAUGGAAAGCAAAAUUAUCACCAAUUCUGCGAUUUACAGUUAACUGCUAUUAAAACAAAAGCCUAAUUUAUAAUCAAUUAUAUAAUUGUCUUUGAAUAAAAAAACUCAAUUUAAUCAAUAAUAAAGCAACUUAAGGUUAAAAGUUGAAAAUUUAUUUAUAAUUAAUGAAAAUUGAAAAUGGCGCUUUCAAAUUUGAUCCCGGUUCGAGUCCCAUUAUGUCACUUGCCCAACCCUUAAACUAAACUUGAAUUUACAUGUUUUAUAAUCAUGAGUUGAAAAGUUGUUUAAAUAAAUAAUAUUUUCAUCAACUAGUUAAUCAAAAGUGAUUAUGGACAAACCCUGAUGAUCCCUUGAUUCAAAAUAACCUUAAGGCCCUUUGAAGAGGCUAAAAAUUACCCCAAAUACAGUGAUUUAAGUAACAAGAACAUCUUUUUCUGCUUUCUCUUUUUUCUUCGUUUUUUUUCCUCUUCACUCUCAAAAGUCGGUUUACUUUGCUAUUAUUUUACUCACAACUUUUCACCCUAACCUUAUUUUUAUGCUUAGAUUCAUGAAUUCAUUUAGGAAACAAAUUAUAAAGUGUUGAUCCAGACAAAGCGACAAAAUUUCUCAUUAACUCUUAUUACCGUGAAUGGCAAUGAAAUAAAUGGAAGAGAAACAAUCAACUCAUUUUUAAUCAUAAACAAAAGCCUUGUCCCUCAUGGUCGACAAAAUUUACCCCAAAGGAGGAAGACCAUGGGAUGAAGAGGAUAAUGAUGAUGUUAUACAAAGCAAAUUAUCUGGGAAAAGGAUGGAUGUGAAUUAAAGGAGAAUCCAUUUUUCUGUUCACUUUACUCUUGACAUUACAUCUUGAAAGUCUCAUCAUCAGUAUUAUCAUCUCAGCACGUGUAACAUGAUGUUUUACCAAAAGGAUGAGGAGGCGGAUAAAGGAGGAGGGCAAGACGUUAACACGUGAAACAUGUGAAAGUGUAAACAUGAAUGGAGACAAUGGUUAACACGCCCUUUCCGUCUUUUAUUUCUUAAUAAUCGUAAUAAUUAUGAUUAUGAUUAAAAAUGAUUAAGUAAAUUUCCGGUUAGACAGCAGUUGAAGUAAAGUGUUGGCUGGAAAUGGGAAAAUCUUGAUGAGAAAUAUUCUUGUGGUCAAUGGCGUUGGAUGAGAAACAAAUUGUUGGCAAAUUGAGGCAAAUUUUCACCUUUUUUCCUCUCUUGCCCUUUUCUUUCAUUUAUCUUCAUCCACAUCAUCUUCAUCUUAAUCCUCUUUCUGCUCUUCUUUUGUAUUUCUCUUAACAGAAAACAUCUUAAGACAUCCUAAGAACUUUUUUUUCUUUCUUAUUGACCAAUCUUCUUCACAUCAUCUUCCACUCAAUUUGUCCUCAUCUUUCAACAUUUCAAGACUACUUUAUCUUAAUCUUCAGCUCCUCUUAUCAUAAUUUUCAUCCCUCUUCAAGCUGAUCAAUAUCAUUAAAGAUGAGAAGUAAUCAGACGAUGAAGAUGAGGCUUAUUUUCAGCAAAGUCUUACGUUACUCUGGGAAAAGAUUUUUAAUGUUGCAGGAAAAACAAAACAUUAAACAGGUUAUCACCUUUCAACACCACAGUCGACUCUGAAUGUUUAAGGAAAACCUGGAAAGCCAUCGGUUCUAUCUGAUUGUUAUCUUUAUUAAAAAUCACAAUUUACUCACCAACUUCAUCGUCAACAUCUGAACCAGACGAAUGCCAAAUCCAACACAAAUGUCAACUUCAUCCCAAUCAUCAUCAUCAUUAUUGUUAUCAUCAUCAUCUUAAUCAUUCUUUCACUUCUACCAUCCUCCAAAUGCCUAUCUGAUUCUCAUAAAUUUCAUUCCUAAUGUUAACAUGUGUUCUGUUAUUUUUCAACUAAUCUUUUGUAUAUUUCAAAUUAACACAAAAUAUUUUUACCCAGGUAAGCUACUUAAAUAGCCAAGAUUAUGAUGAUUAUUAUUGAAUGUAUUAAAUGAUGAUUUAAUACUAUUUA